RNAcentral lists this long non-coding RNA (2314 nucleotides) under Sus scrofa (pig). Its description in RNAcentral is "lncRNA (ENSSSCG00055005350.1)". Lineage: Eukaryota; Metazoa; Chordata; Mammalia; Artiodactyla; Suidae. The record is from RNAcentral.
CAAGCCGUGUCUGUGACCUACACCACAGCUCACAGCAACGCCAGAUCCUUAACCCACUGAGCAAGGGCAGGGAUCGAACCCGCAACCUCAUGGUUCCUAGUCGGAUUCGUUAACCAUUGAGCCAUGACAGGAACUCCCCCAGGAACAAUGUUUAUAAAAUUUAACAUUGGGUAUGUGCUCAUGCCCCAAGAUAACUCCAAUGUACAUUUUACCAUAUAGGGGAGUUCUUGUCAUGGCUCAGUGGUUAACGAACCCGACUAGUACCCAUGAGGAUGAGGGUUUGAUCCCUGGCCUCGCUCAGUAGGUUAAGGAUCUGGUGUUGCUGUGAGCUGUGGUGUAGGUUGCAGACGUGGCUCGGAUCCCGAGUGGCUGUGGCUGUGGCUGUGGUGCAGGCCUUUUGCAUCUACAGCUCUGAUUAGACCCCUAGCCUGGGAACAAUCAUAUGCCUUGAGUUCAGCCCUAAAAAAAAAAAAGACAAAAAAAAAUUACUAUAUACCCUUAGUUUACUGUAUUAAUUUUUAAAUUAAAAUAAAAUGGAGAGUUGUCUGUGCCACAGCAGGAACUCCAAAAUAUUUUUUAAAAUUGUUUUUCUUUUAAUUCUUAAAAUCAUGGAGUUCCCUUGUGGCACAGUCAGUUUAGGAUCCAGUGUUGUGACUGCAGUAGCUUGGGUUGCUGUUGUAUAGGUUCAAUCCCUGGCCCUGGGAACUUGCACAUGCUGCAGGUGCAACCAAAAAAAGAUAAAAUUCUUAAAAUCAUUAAGGAGCUUUUUUUUUUUUUUUGCCUUUUUGCCUUUUCUUGAACCACUCCAUGGCAUAUGGAGGUUCCCAGGCUAGGGGUCUAAUUGGAACUGUAGCCACCACAGCUCACGGCAACGCCAGAUCCUUAACCCACUGAGCAAGGCCAGGGAUGGAGCCCACAACCUCGUGGUUCCUAGUUGGAUUCGUUAACCACUGCACUACGACAGGAACUCCUAAAGAGCUCUUGAGAAGGGAAAUACUAGGCCAAAUCUUAAAAGGCAAGAACUGAAAAAAGUAAGCAUAAUGCUUAGAGGCCACACUUUUGGCUUCAGGGUCACGUGCCAAUUUAGUAGACAUGAAACUGACCUGUACUUUUCAUGGGAUGGUUGGGCUAGGGAGGCAAAAGGCAAAGUCUAAGCCUACCAAGCUGGGCAAUAAAUCACACAUUAAACUAGGACCCUUAAAAAAGUCCUUGCCAGGCUUUUAGACCACACUUUUGCCAUUGUGGUGUCAAGAGAAAUUGAGGGCCUGAAUUUGUAUUAUGGUGAUCCUUGACUAGUAAUGUCUUCAUUUACUAUCAGAGAAACAUAAAAGUCCUCUCUGAGAAAACUAGCAUUAUAAUCUACUUAGGGCUUAUAUUAUUUCUAUCCGUGAUUUUUUCAAAUAAAUUUUCAGCACGCAAAGAUAAACAGACACAUAAGAAUACAAGACCCCAUAAGUGAAAACCAGGAGAAAUGACAACAGAACCACAAAAAACUUCAGAUGUUAUAAUUAGAAAACUCAAGAUUACAGAACAAUUAUGACCAAAGGGUCAAAGAAUAGCUAAGCUUGGAAAUUUCAUCAAGGAAGCGGAAGCUAUAAAAAACGACUAAGUUUUCGGGAGUUCCCGUCGUGGCGCAGUGGUUAACGAAUCCGACUAGGAACCAUGAGGUUGCGGGUUCGGUCCCUGCCCUUGCUCAGUGGGUUAACGAUCCGGCGUUGCCGUGAGCUGUGGUGUAGGUUGCGAACGCGGCUCAGAUCCCGCGUUGCUGUGGCUCUGGCGUAGGCUGGUGGCUACAGCUCCGAUUUGACCCCUAGCCUGGGAACCUCCAUAUGCCGCGGGAGUGGCCCAAGAAAUAGCAAAAAGACAAAAACAAAACAAAACAAAAACGACUAAGUUUUCAAAAAUGACCCAAUACCUGAAAAAAAUGAAAAAAUAAAUCAUUCAAUGGAUAGGUUUAACAGCAGACUAGAUAGAGCUGAAGGGAGAUUGGUGAACUAUAAAAUUUAUCAGAAAAAAAGUGUCAAGAAGGUAGCUUGGCAAGACAAGGUGGAAAAUGUAAAGCAAGUUAAGAGAGAGGAAAUGUGAAGUGUCUUAUUCAUUUAUUUGAAGGUCCAGAAGUUGAUGAAUGAAAGACUGUAUUGAGAAUAGCUAAAAAUUUCCUGGAACUGAUAAACCAUGUCAGAAUAAAUAAAGAUAAAUCCACACCCAGGUACACCAUAAUAAGCUGCAGAUGACCACUGGCAAAAUAGAACAAAAUCUGAAGCAGCUGACUACUAUCUUCAAAGGAGUGACAGAGCAAUCAAGGUGAAAGGCA